This 465-nucleotide ribosomal RNA is filed under the name uncultured bacterium. RNAcentral describes it as "partial 16S ribosomal RNA". It matches the Rfam family "Bacterial small subunit ribosomal RNA", at positions 28 to 507 of the family's 1533-position model. The record is from RNAcentral.
GAUGAACGCUGGCGGCGUGCUUAACACAUGCAAGUCGAACGAUGAAGCCCAGCUUGCUGGGUGGAUUAGUGGCGAACGGGUGAGUAACACGUGAGUAACCUGCCCUUGACUCUAGGAUAAGCCCGGGAAACUGGGUCUAAUACUGGAUAGGAACGUCUACCGCAUGGUGGGUGUUGGAAAGAAUUUCGGUCAUGGAUGGACUCGCGGCCUAUCAGCUUGUUGGUGAGGUAAUGGCUUACCAAGGCGACGACGGGUAGCCGGCCUGAGAGGGUGACCGGCCACACUGGGACUGAGACACGGCCCAGACUCCUACGGGAGGCAGCAGUGGGGAAUAUUGCACAAUGGGCGAAAGCCUGAUGCAGCGACGCCGCGUGAGGGAUGACGGCCUUCGGGUUGUAAACCUCUUUCAGUAGGGAAGAAGCGAAAGUGACGGUACCUGCAGAAGAAGCACCGGCUAACUACGUG